GGACGAACGCUGGCGGCGUGCUUAACACAUGCAAGUCGAACGGGGUUUAGUUUUAAGUUUACUUUUAACUAAACCAAGUGGCGGACGGGUGAGUAACGCGUGGAUAACCUGCCCAUUAGCCUGGGAUAACGCCGGGAAACCGGUGCUAAUACCGGAUAAGUUCACCGGAUUGCAUAAUUCGGUGAAGAAAGGUGUAAACCGCUAUUGGAUGGGUCCGCGUCCCAUUAGCUUGUUGGUAGGGUAACGGCCUACCAAGGCGACGAUGGGUAGCCGGCCUGAGAGGGCGACCGGCCACACUGGAACUGAGACACGGUCCAGACUCCUACGGGAGGCAGCAGUGGGGAAUCUUCCGCAAUGGGCGCAAGCCUGACGGAGCAACGCCGCGUGAGUGACGAAGGUUUUCGGAUUGUAAAACUCUGUCCAGAGGGAAGAAACAAAUGACGGUACCUCUGGAGGAAGCCCCGGCUAACUACG
This 474-nucleotide ribosomal RNA is filed under the name uncultured Desulfotomaculum sp. RNAcentral's name for it is "bacterial SSU rRNA". It matches the Rfam family "Bacterial small subunit ribosomal RNA", at positions 27 to 505 of the family's 1533-position model. Lineage: Bacteria; Bacillati; Bacillota; Clostridia; Eubacteriales; Desulfotomaculaceae. The record is from RNAcentral.